Molecule: ribosomal RNA, 497 nt
Filed under: uncultured bacterium
Lineage: Bacteria
Description: partial 16S ribosomal RNA
Rfam family: Bacterial small subunit ribosomal RNA
Source: RNAcentral
GAUGAACGCUGGCGGCGUGCCUAAUACAUGCAAGUCGAGCGAACAGACGAGGAGCUUGCUCCUCUGACGUUAGCGGCGGACGGGUGAGUAACACGUGGAUAACCUACCUAUAAGACUGGGAUAACUUCGGGAAACCGGAGCUAAUACCGGAUAAUAUAUUGAACCGCAUGGUUCAAUAGUGAAAGACGGUUUUGCUGUCACUUAUAGAUGGAUCCGCGCCGCAUUAGCUAGUUGGUAAGGUAACGGCUUACCAAGGCAACGAUGCGUAGCCGACCUGAGAGGGUCAUCGGCCACACUGGAACUGACACACGGUCCAGACUCCUACGGGAGGCAGCAGUAGGGAAUCUUCCGCAAUGGGCGAAAGCAUGCCGGAGCAACGCCGCGUGAGUGAUGAAGGUCUUCGGAUCGUAAAACUCUGUUAUUAGGGAAGAACAAAUGUGUAAGUAACUAUGCACGUCUUGACGGUACCUAAUCAGAAAGCCACGGCUAACUACGUG